ACAUCGGUGGUUCAGUGGUAGAAUGCUCGCCUGCCACGCGGGCGCCCAGGGUUCGAUUCCCGGCCGAUGGA
RNAcentral lists this transfer RNA (71 nucleotides) under Cordylochernes scorpioides. RNAcentral's name for it is "tRNA-Gly". It matches the Rfam family "tRNA". From Rfam's summary of the family: Transfer RNA (tRNA) molecules are approximately 80 nucleotides in length. Their secondary structure includes four short double-helical elements and three loops (D, anti-codon, and T loops). The record is from RNAcentral. Lineage: Eukaryota; Metazoa; Arthropoda; Arachnida; Pseudoscorpiones; Chernetidae.